GUGAGAGAGGAAGGAAUUAUUUUUAAAUGGACCACCCUUGGCUGGAAAUUCGUCACUCAUUCAUCCCGCGAUUAUUGUGUUUUCAGUCACCGGCCACGGAGAGAACAUAAUUGUACACUUGCAAAGCCGACUAAAAACGAGGGCUGAGGAGCUUGCGUGGCUAAUAAUUUGGACCGCCCUCCAAGAUGGUGAUAGGGAUUCCCCCAAGGGCAUAAGGCGAGUCAGGGCCUGCCAUCUGAAAGUGAAACCCCAGGUAGCGGGACUCAAGGACACCCAGCUGAGGGGUGCUUGAUAAGGUGAAACCUCCACGAAGAACUCUCCUUUCAUGUUAUCUUCGUCCUCAGUCUGAGCGUCCCACAGGAGAGCGCAUAACUAUUCCGCUGAGCUAUUUGACAUUUUGUAUCAUGUUCACAGUGAUGACUCUUUGUGCAUCAUCCUGGCGCUGCACUGGCAGACUUCAGGGGAGUCUCGCUGCAUCGCGUCCACCUGAAAAAAGUUGCAAAGCUUGCAUUUUUGUCACCAGGGCUACGUUCCCUUCAUUUGACUAACAUAGGCAGGCUCAUCUCUUCCUGACUGAAGGAGCAGCUGUCACCACUGUAGACCAUAUGGAUGUGGCAAAUAUUGGGGGCGUAGUAGCUUUGCUUGCUGUUGAUGCAUAUUAAUGAAUAGCUGUUGCUACAUGACAGUGCCAUUUUUUAAAUCCCCUCAACAAUUAAGAUGUUUCCCUACUUUAUAGCCUACAACGUUGGUCUGGUUUUCAAGAACAGAAUGAGUCUAGCCCUGCUGUGUUUGGAUCUCCAAUCUCCAUUCCAAGGUGUGGUGUAGAUUCACACAACACCCUCUCACAGCAUUUCGUAUUAUUCUGUAUGUAAAUCCGACACACUUAAUUUAGAAUAUGAUACUGUAUGUUACAUUUCAUAUGUGUAACGUGUAUGCUGGAAUUUGGGAAUCAAGUUCAGGGAGUGUAUUUAAUAACUCAAUAAACAUAGAACAAAAGCAGAAACACGAGUAGCGAACAGACAUGAACACUGGAACAGAAACAAUAAAGCCUAGGGAUAGAACCAAAGGAGUGACAUAAACUCAGCAAAAAAAGAAACGUCCUCACUGUCAACUGCGUUUAUUUUCAGCAAACUUAACAUAUGUUCAUACAAAUAUUUACACAACAAGAUUCAACAACUGAGACAUAAACUGAACAAGUUCCACAGACAUGUGACUAAUAGAAAUG
RNAcentral lists this long non-coding RNA (1225 nucleotides) under Salmo salar (Atlantic salmon). RNAcentral describes it as "lncRNA (ENSSSAG00000109141.1)". The record is from RNAcentral. Lineage: Eukaryota; Metazoa; Chordata; Actinopteri; Salmoniformes; Salmonidae.